CGUAGUUAAAACAGUCGAUAUUAUCAUUUCUCCUAUAUUACUGCCAGUCUCUUGUGGCUCCUUUGCCAAUACGAAAAUUUACUCACGCUUGAAAGUUUUUAUUAUUACCUUGUCGAUAUUGUUGUUAAUAUUACCUUGUUGAUAUUGUUAAUGGACGUUUAAAUGGAAAAUUGAUACAUUUUAUAAUAAAUUAAAAGAUUGUCAGUGCACGGCAGGCACUGGGAAAGAAGCUGAGCGCCACCGGCAGUCAGAGAUCAGAAUGGUAUGGAAAAGUUAAUGGAGCUAUUAGAGAAAAGUAUAUUAACUAAAUCAUAGUAGGAAAAAUACUUGAUAUAUCUUAUUUAUGGCUAUAUUUUUAAUUUGUCUGGGUCAGAAUGGUCAGAAUGGUAUGGAAAAGUUAGUGGAGCUGUUAGAGGAAAAUAUAGUAACUAAAUCACAGUCAGAAUGGUAUGGAAAAGUUAAUGGAACUGUCCUCACUCCUCAAUGACUUUGAUAACUUAUUAUUUGCUAAGAAUUCUGUCAGCCUAGAAUGUGUUAUUGAAGAUGUUACAUUAAAUGAAUCAUUAAAUAGAGAGAUUGAAACAUUUCUAAGACAAUUAACUUCAUAUUUUUUAUUACAUGCUUCACACAAAGCAUUGGAAUAGCUCAUAUACAAUAUCUCAUUUGUAUUGCUGCUUUUACCACUUCAUGAAUCUCAUAUAUUUUUCAGCACAGAUUUGAUGAUAAAUUCUUGAAGAUGCUAUGCAACCAUAUAACUACUGUGAAGAUCCAUACCAAGCAUUUCAGCUAAUUACUUUGUAUAUUUUUUAUAUUAUAUAGAAGUUAUAUCAUAUUGAGUUACAAUUGAAUAGACAACAGAGAGCCAAGUCAGCUAACUGAUUGUAUUUUGCUUAGCUUCCUUUGUCAGUAUCUCAUUUCUGAUUGAUGGUUGAAGAUCAAGUAUGUGAAACUUUACGUCAGAAGAACCACAUAAAAUGGUUUGAUGAAAAUCACAAGGAAACUUGGAGAUUUCCUGUCAUUUCUACCGGGAACGAUGUCUUUCUCGGAAAUAUUAGAAGACGAAGACGCAACGAUGGGAAGUUGUUUACGUCUUAGAGGAGAUUUUAGGUGAACCUUUACAGAAAUAUUCCUAAAUAUAUUUGAAUGUGUUAGUUUGAACUACAAAGUAAUUGUAAAUAUUUUUAUUAAGAACAUGCGUGGAAACAUCUUUUUUAAACAGAGAGAAUUCUUUUUUCAAAGUUAUUCUAUAUAUUUCCAAUAUAAACAGAUGUGUAAAAAUGUAUUGGAUAACUACUAACAGCGAAUAAACAUAUAAGUAAACAUUGUAAAUGAAAUCAGAAAAGAAUAUAAGUGAAUCAAAUGUCAAA
Harpegnathos saltator (Jerdon's jumping ant) is the source of this 1367-nucleotide long non-coding RNA. RefSeq lists it as uncharacterized. The record is from RefSeq and is a predicted model, not a curated record. The transcript has 8 exons. NCBI's taxonomy places the organism in Eukaryota, Metazoa, Arthropoda, Insecta, Hymenoptera, Formicidae.